This is an unclassified non-coding RNA of 209 nucleotides. The stretch from base 1 to 46 matches the Rfam family "Eukaryotic small subunit ribosomal RNA", at positions 1786 to 1831 of the family's 1831-position model.
AAGUCGUAACAAGGUUUCCGUAGGUGAACCUGCGGAAGGAUCAUUAUAAAAUUUUCAUAUAUUAUUUAUUUAUUUAAUUAAUUAAUAUAUAAAAUUUAUACAAAAAUGUAUUCAAAACCCACACUCUUUAUAAUAACCAUAAAAAAAACACAUUAUAUCUCGUAUAUAAUAUAAAAAAACAACUUUCAACAACGGAUCUCUUGGCUCUC